Molecule: unclassified non-coding RNA, 377 nt
Filed under: uncultured Oligoflexaceae bacterium
Lineage: Bacteria; Pseudomonadati; Bdellovibrionota; Oligoflexia; Oligoflexales; Oligoflexaceae
Description: contains 16S-23S intergenic spacer region
Source: RNAcentral
UCCGGUUUAACACCGGCAGUCUCCUCAGAGUGCCCAACUUAAUGCUGGCAACUAAGGACAAGGGUUGCGCUCGUUGCGGGACUUAACCCAACAUCUUACGACACGAGCUGACGACAGCCAUGCAGCACCUAUCUCCAUGUCCCCGAAGGGAAGGCCACAUCUCUGUGGAUGUCAUGGGAUGUUAAGACCAGGUAAGGUUCUGCGCGUUGCUUCGAAUUAAACCACAUACUCCACCGCUUGUGCGGGCCCCCGUCAAUUCCUUUGAGUUUUAGCCUUGCGACCGUACUCCCCAGGCGGGAUACUUAAUGCGUGAGCUACGGUACCCAGAGGGUUAACACUCCGGCCACCUAGUACCCAUAGUUUACGGCGUGGACUAC